Molecule: ribosomal RNA, 464 nt
Filed under: uncultured bacterium
Lineage: Bacteria
Description: partial 16S ribosomal RNA
Rfam family: Bacterial small subunit ribosomal RNA
Source: RNAcentral
CCUACGGGAGGCAGCAGUAGGGAAUUUUCGUCAAUGGGCGCAAGCCUGAACGAGCAAUGCCGCGUGAACGAGGAAGGUCUUCGGAUCGUAAAGUUCUGUUGAAGGGGAAAAAGAGCGGAGAGAGGAAAUGGUCUCCGAUUGAUAUUACCCUUCGAGGAAGUCACGGCUAACUACGUGCCAGCAGCCGCGGUAAUACGUAGGUGGCGAGCGUUAUCCGGAAUGAUUGGGCGUAAAGGGUGCGUAGGCGGCCUGCUAAGUCUGGAGUGAAAGGUACCGGCUCAACCGGUACAGGCUCUGGAAACUGGCGGGCUAGAGAGCAGGAGAGGGCGGUGGAACUCCAUGUGUAGCGGUAAAAUGCGUAGAUAUAUGGAAGAACACCAGUGGCGAAGGCGGCCGCCUGGCCUGUGACUGACGCUGAGGCACCAAAGCGUGGGGAGCAAAUAGGAUUAGAUACCCGGGUAGUC